GUGUUUGUGGGUGGGGCAUCAUCAAGAUUCACAUGGAUUAAGACAACUCCGGUGGUUCUACAUGAGAAUCUUGAUGAUGCUGCAUCGGCAAACAA
This 95-nucleotide microRNA precursor is filed under the name Musa acuminata subsp. malaccensis (wild Malaysian banana). RNAcentral's name for it is "mir-172 microRNA precursor family". It matches the Rfam family "mir-172 microRNA precursor family". Rfam says of the family: mir-172 has been experimentally verified in Arabidopsis thaliana. This family is thought to target mRNAs coding for APETALA2-like transcription factors. The record is from Rfam by way of RNAcentral. Lineage: Eukaryota; Viridiplantae; Streptophyta; Magnoliopsida; Zingiberales; Musaceae.